This is a long non-coding RNA of Zonotrichia albicollis (white-throated sparrow), 1719 nucleotides long. RefSeq lists it as uncharacterized. The record is from RefSeq and is a predicted model, not a curated record. NCBI's taxonomy places the organism in Eukaryota, Metazoa, Chordata, Aves, Passeriformes, Passerellidae.
AGAGGAGAGGAUAUGGUCACGUUUUGGGUUGCUCAAAUUACCUUGGCAAGUGGUGCUUGCAUCAGAAGGGCUCUGAACCAGACAGUUGAAAGUACUUGAUAGUUCCUUUCUCCCCAGAACACACAGGUGCUGAACUCCAUGGAGAACUCCCUGGGUGUCAGCUGAGAUCAUGGACCUGAUGUGGAUAAUUACCUCCUGAUUAUCCAGCUGGGUAUGAAAUGUUGGUGAAACAAAUCCAUGUGCCCAAAGAGCAGCUCAGCUAUGAGAUUGUGAGAUUCCACCCUGGCACUACGUACAUUGUCACACUUCCAUCACAUGUGAAGGGGAUUGCCAGUGAGCCCAAGCAUCUAGAAGCAAGUACAGACAGGUAGAUGGGGAGAUACACCUUGGCUGGUGGAGACACCAAUGAAAUAGAGGUGGGCAGUGAAAAUGACAUGAUCACCUUCUGGAUCUGAAGCCAGACAUGGAAUGUCACCAACAACUGGCCAGGGAAGCAAGAAGGCAAGCACCAGAGCUGUGACAGGGAAUGCAAGGACCUACCACAGUGGCUGGAAGUUCACAACAUGGGAAGGGGACAAUGAUGUGGCUCUAAGCAGCUGUGCCCUGACACACCACAGUGCAUGGUGGCACAAGCACUCCACCUGGGAAAGCUCAAAGCGAGACCUGAGGAGAGCAGUCACUGUGAGGGUGUGAACUGGGAGUCAUGGAAAGGACAUGAAUUCUCCAUCUCUUUUAUCUGUCCUCAGUCUUCCAGUAAUGAGCCAGUCCUGGGGAGGAGGAAGAAGUCUUUAUCAGAGAAGAGGAAAAAGAUCAGGGCUUAAAUAGAACUCUGCAGAACAACUCAAAGAUAAUGUUUCAGUAUUUUCUUAACAAAGUUUGAUUCAGACAGCUUUCUCCAAUGCAAAGGAAACAAUAGCUGACCAAUGUGCACCCAGGAACAUCUGUAUCUGCAGGCCAACCUGCUGGCAGCCUUUGGAGCUCCUGGGAGGGUGAUGUUCCAGAUUCUGAGAGGGGGCUUGUGGGGGAUCCUCCUUGAAGAUACUCUGGUUGGCUAAGCAUGACAAGGACCUGCUUGAUGCAAUACAUGCAACUUCUAUGGACUUUAUGUCAAACAAGCCUUAACACGUUGUCCUUUCUGGAGCCUGGGCUGCAGACUCCUCUUAAUUCUGUCCUUCUCUGGAGCCAUCCACUUCAGACUUCCAAAAAUAAAUUUGAACCUACUAACAAAUAAUAGCCCCCUAAUUUACAUCAGAGUGAACUCUUCUGAGACUUCUCCCUGUUUUGGUCUGCAGUUCUCAUUAUCUGGGCAGAUUCCCUAUUCUUCUUGCAGAACUGGGUUUUGGGAAACACUGCCAGUCUGCUGGAAAGGCCCAUUAACUCAUGUGUGUUCUGUAGACUGGGUUCCUCAGCCCCCAGUAUCACAUCUCUGCUGGUUAAAAUCUUGCUAUUUUGCUUGUGUCAUUUUUCCCAGCCCAAAGAAAAUACAAGGGAGAUGUGUAGUAGAUUGAUGUUCGCUCUCCAGGAUGAGGCCCAGAACACGGUGAAUGUGAGGUCCACUCUCUUCCAGGCUCUGCUCACCAUCCCAGACCUUCCUCUCUGUACUGCUUGCUUACAGACAAUUAACCAAAUUCCCUAUGUGACUGUUCCAUCUGCUGCCUUCUGCUUUUUCAUCAGCCGUGUGGCAGGUAGUGAGGCUGAAAUGAUAACACUUGUCAUCCA